Molecule: non-coding RNA, 108 nt
Organism: Acanthosepion pharaonis
Lineage: Eukaryota; Metazoa; Mollusca; Cephalopoda; Sepiida; Sepiidae
Source: the annotation of a GenBank genome assembly
UACGGCCAUAUCACGUUCAAGCAUCGGUUCUCGCACGAUAACUGAAGUUAAGUAAUGUCGAGCCUGGUCAGUAUCUACAUGGGUAACCACUUGGGAAUACCAGGUGCU